This 1331-nucleotide long non-coding RNA is filed under the name Anas platyrhynchos platyrhynchos (common mallard). Its description in RNAcentral is "lncRNA (ENSAPLG00000023564.1)". The record is from RNAcentral. Lineage: Eukaryota; Metazoa; Chordata; Aves; Anseriformes; Anatidae.
AAAUAUUGAUGUCUUGGAAAAUAAAGCUAAAGUAAACUGUCAAUGAAACUUACGUAAAUGACUAAUUUUUAUUUUUUUUUAAAGAGAACUCAAACUCUCAGCAUCAGCCAGCUGGCAUGUUCAAAGUCUGUCUGUAAAUAUUAAAAGCUUUUCCCUGGCAAGAAUACCAAAAUAUUACUGGUAUCUCUGGCAUGUAAUUCAAAUAAAGAUGAAGUAAACUGUAAAUGUUAUCACAAAGCUUAAAUAGUCCUGAUAUCUACUAAAUGUAGAGCUUCAUUAUGACAGGCUGACAUAACCUCAAGUAGUGCUUGAGCAACAAGGACUGUGUUGGGUGAUUUCCUGUUAAGUACAUGAAGUGUUUUAAUAAGAGGCAUUUUUUUUUUUUUUUUUUUUAAUGUAACUUGGCACUUUUUCUGUGUUGUUGCUGAUAACCCACUCCUCUCUCGCUCUUCAUGCAGCAAGCCUCAGGCUGGACUGAUGUAUUACCUAGUUAGGUUUUCCUAAGACUCAUCCAUGAAGUUUGAGACCUCCUGAGACUUUUUGCUCAGCACUUAUGCCAAAUACCCUGUACUGUUUGGAGAAGGUUGACCUGGCAGCACAUGUGCUGAAGGACACACUGAGGACUUCUGGUUACAAGGUGGCCCUGGAUGGACACAUCCAGCCCAUUGUGUGAGUACUUCCAGUGACUGCCCAAGGCACAGGCAGGGACACAGAGACUCAGGAGAGGACAACCAUACAUUUGGAACUCCUGGAGAAAUAAAGCAGCUGCCCGAAGUGCAUUCAGAGAAGAGUGAGGAAGAUGAUUCUGGGAGAAGCUGGCUGUCAGCAGCCUUAGCUGUUUCUGGUUCCUGGAAAAUGUGUCUCUUACAGCCAAAGUGAAAGCUCAACACACUCUCCAAUACUCAGACAUGAAGAGACAUGAAGUCAUGAAGUAGAUAUGUGGUGACUGCCAGCUAUCCAGACAGACCUGCUGAUCAGAGGAUCAGACUCACUAUGAUAGCAGCUGGGAUUUUCCAGCCCAGGUCACCCUGCUGAAGUCCCAAGGACAGACUGACGUCGGUCCCUGCCCUGUCAGUACGGCUGUGCCCACAUGGCCCAGCUCUGCAGCCCACUGAGAGAGGUGGCAAAGGUGUCUCUUACCCAGACACCCAGCGCUGACAUGCCUGCUCACUGAAUAAUGUGUCCUGAAACCAUUCUGAUGCUCUGAAUAAUUCAAACCUACUAAAAAUAUGUCACUUUUAAGUAUAAUUAGACAGCUAUUAUCCUUUGAAACUGAGUAACUAUACCCAAAUUAUAAUAAAAAAGGACAAAGAUAUGGAACUGUGGUACCU